CAUUUUAAAAAAAACUUAGUCGCCAGACGGGUGAGUAUGCAUAGGAAUCUACCUAGUAGUAUAGGAUAGCCACUAGAAAUGGUGGGUAAUACUGUAUAAUCCCUGCGGGGGAAAGAUUUAUCGCUACAUGAUGAGCCUAUGUUAGAUUAGCUAGUUGGUGGGGUAAUGGCCUACCAAGGCAGUGAUCUAUAGCUGGUCUGAGAGGAUGAUCAGCCACACUGGAACUGAGACACGGUCCAGACUCCUACGGGAGGCAGCAGUGGGGAAUAUUGGACAAUGGGCGCAAGCCUGAUCCAGCUAUGCCGCGUGAGUGAGGAAGGCCUUAGGGUUGUAAAACUCUUUCAGUAGGGAAGAUAAUGACGGUACCUAUA
Molecule: ribosomal RNA, 371 nt
Filed under: uncultured Anaplasma sp.
Lineage: Bacteria; Pseudomonadati; Pseudomonadota; Alphaproteobacteria; Rickettsiales; Anaplasmataceae
Description: bacterial SSU rRNA
Rfam family: Bacterial small subunit ribosomal RNA
Source: RNAcentral